This 29-nucleotide small RNA is filed under the name Bombyx mori (domestic silkworm). RNAcentral's name for it is "ovarian small RNA-13398". The record is from RNAcentral. Lineage: Eukaryota; Metazoa; Arthropoda; Insecta; Lepidoptera; Bombycidae.
CAUCAUCCGGAUGCCCACACUGGUGGCAA